CAGAGAAUUNGCUGGUGCUUANCCUGCAGGUACCGUCAACACUCAAGAUAUUAGCUUGAGCUUUUUCUUCCCAGACUAAAGUGCUUUACAACCCGAAGGSCUUCUUCACACACGCGGCAUUGCUGGRUCAGGCUUUCGCCCAUUGUCCAAUAUUCCCCACUGCUGCCUCCCGUAAGAGUCCGGACCGUGUCUCAAUUCCGGUGUGACUGAUCRUCCUCUCAGACCAGUUACNGAUCGUCGCCUUGGUGGGCCAUUACCCCACCAACNAGCUAAUCNGACAUAGGCUNCUCNNAAAGCACAAGGGCUUGCGGUCCCCUGCUUUGCUCUUGCGAGAUCAUGCGGUAUUAAUCCGGGUUUCCCCGGGUUAUCCCCCACUCNGAGGGNAAAUUCCUAUGUNUUCCUCACCCGUCCGNCANUAGAGUUAUUGGCAACNCCCCGUUCNNUGCUGUAUGAUAUUGNGNGNGNU
RNAcentral lists this ribosomal RNA (466 nucleotides) under uncultured bacterium. RNAcentral describes it as "partial 16S ribosomal RNA". The record is from RNAcentral.